GCGUCGGUUGGGCAAUUGGUAGCCCGCUUGGCCGUAACCCAGGUCCCUUCGGGGUAUGCAGGUUCGAGCCCUGCCCGGCGCACCA
RNAcentral lists this transfer RNA (85 nucleotides) under Aeromicrobium panaciterrae. RNAcentral describes it as "tRNA-Tyr". It matches the Rfam family "tRNA". Rfam says of the family: Transfer RNA (tRNA) molecules are approximately 80 nucleotides in length. Their secondary structure includes four short double-helical elements and three loops (D, anti-codon, and T loops). The record is from RNAcentral. Lineage: Bacteria; Bacillati; Actinomycetota; Actinomycetes; Propionibacteriales; Nocardioidaceae.